GUGCUUGCUUCGACAGCACACACAGUAAACGUGGAACGAGGCAGAGAACACUGGCGUCUCCCCUGAACAAGGCUGACGUGCAAAUGUAUGAACUAUUUCAUUUUUAU
Callithrix jacchus (white-tufted-ear marmoset) is the source of this 107-nucleotide small nuclear RNA. The record is from Ensembl. Lineage: Eukaryota; Metazoa; Chordata; Mammalia; Primates; Cebidae.